UACGGAAGGUGCGAGCGUUAAUCGGAAUUACUGGGCGUAAAGCGCACGUAGGUGGUUUUAUAAGUCGGAUGUGAAAGCCCCGGGCUUAACCUGGGAAUGGCAUUUGGGACUGCAAGGCUGGAGUGCGGCAGAGGAGACUGGAAUUCCUGGUGUAGCGGUGGAAUGCGCAGAUAUCAGGAGGAACACCGAUGGCGAAGGCAGGUCACUGGGCCGCAACUGACGCUGAGGAGCGAAAGCAUGGGGAGCGAACAGG
RNAcentral lists this ribosomal RNA (253 nucleotides) under uncultured bacterium. RNAcentral's name for it is "partial 16S ribosomal RNA". It matches the Rfam family "Bacterial small subunit ribosomal RNA", at positions 524 to 776 of the family's 1533-position model. The record is from RNAcentral.